GGAUCAGAAUGCCACGGUGAAUACGUUCCCGGGCCUUGUACACACCGCCCGUCACACCAUGGGAGUGGGUUGCAAAAGAAGUAGGUAGCUUAACCUCCGGGAGGGCGCUUACCACUUUGUGAUUCAUGACUGGGGUGAAGUCGUAACAAGGUAACCGUAGGGGAACCUGCGGUUGGAUCACCUCCUUACC
Molecule: ribosomal RNA, 190 nt
Filed under: Pantoea sp. SJZ147
Lineage: Bacteria; Pseudomonadati; Pseudomonadota; Gammaproteobacteria; Enterobacterales; Erwiniaceae
Description: partial 16S ribosomal RNA
Rfam family: Bacterial small subunit ribosomal RNA
Source: RNAcentral